RNAcentral lists this ribosomal RNA (200 nucleotides) under Clostridioides sp. ZZV14-6044. Its description in RNAcentral is "partial 23S ribosomal RNA". It matches the Rfam family "Bacterial large subunit ribosomal RNA", at positions 2582 to 2781 of the family's 2925-position model. The record is from RNAcentral. Lineage: Bacteria; Bacillati; Bacillota; Clostridia; Peptostreptococcales; Peptostreptococcaceae.
CGCCCAUUAAAGUGGUACGCGAGCUGGGUUCAGAACGUCGUGAGACAGUUCGGUCCCUAUCCGUCGCAGGCGGAGGAAAUUUGAGGAGACCUGUCCUUAGUACGAGAGGACCGGGAUGGACGUACCUCUGGUGUACCAGUUGUUCUGCCAAGGGCAUGGCUGGGUAGCUAUGUACGGAAUGGAUAAGCGCUGAAAGCAUC